Molecule: ribosomal RNA, 1345 nt
Filed under: metagenome
Description: bacterial LSU rRNA
Rfam family: Bacterial large subunit ribosomal RNA
Source: RNAcentral
UGAGUACGAGACGCUAAGGCGUCGAAGUAGUGGAUGUCAUACUUCCAAGAAAAGCUUGCACUGUCAUAAAUAAGAAAUGCCUGUACCAUAACCGACACAGGUGGGUAAGUAGAGUAUACUAAGGGGCGCGAGAUAACUCUCUCUAAGGAACUCGGCAAAAUAACUCCGUAACUUCGGGAGAAGGAGUGCCUUAUUCUUAAGGUUGCAAUAACAAGAUCCAAGCAACUGUUUAUCAAAAACACAGGUCUCCGCUAAGUCGUAAGACGAUGUAUGGGGGCUGACGCCUGCCCAGUGCCAGAAGGUUAAGGAAGUCGGUUAGCAAUAGCAAAGCUGGUAACUGAAGCCCUGGUGAACGGCGGCCGUAACAAUAACGGUCCUAAGGUAGCGAAAUUCCUUGUCGGGUAAGUUCCGACCCGCACGAAAGGCGUAAUGAUUUGGAUGCUGUCUCGGAGAGGGGCUCGGUGAAAUAGACUUGUCUGUGAAGAUGCGGACUACCUGCACCAGGACAGAAAGACCCUAUGAAGCUUUACUGUAACUUGAAAUUGAAAUUGGACUUUAUUCGCGCAGUAUAGGUGGGAGGCGUUGAUUAUAAUCUUGUGGGAUUAUUGGAGCCAUCAGUGAGAUACCACUCUUGUAAUGUUAGAUUUCUAACUUUGAAUCAUUAUCUGGUCAAAGGACAGUUUCAGGCGGGCAGUUUGACUGGGGCGGUCGCCUCCUAAACGGUAACGGAGGCGUACAAAGGUUUCCUCUGAACGGUUAGAAAUCGUAUCUAGAGUGUAAAGGCAUAAGGAAGCUUGACUGUGAGACCUACAAGUCGAGCAGGGACGAAAGUCGGUCUUAGUGAUCUGACGGUACUGAGUGGAAAGGCCGUCACUCAACGGAUAAAAGUUACUCUAAGGAUAACAGGCUGAUCUCCCCCAAGAGUUCACAUCGACGGGGAGGUUUGGCACCUCGAUGUCGGCUCAUCGCAUCCUGGGGCGGUAGUACGUCCCAAGGGUUGGGCUGUUCGCCCAUGAAAGCGGUACGCGAGCUGGGUUCAGAACGUCGUGAGACAGUUCGGUCCAUAUCCGGUGUAGGCGCUAGAAUAUUGAGAGGAGCCUCCUUUAGUACGAGAGGACCGAGAAGGACAUACCUCUGGUGUACCAGUUAUCGUGCCAACGGUAAACGCUGGGUAGCUAUGUAUGGAGUGGAUAACCGCUGAAAGCAUCUAAGUGGGAAGCCCACCUCAAGAUAAGUAUUCUCAUCACGUAAGUGAGUAAGGUCACGGUAAGACUAACCGUUUGAUAGGCAUUAAGUGUAAGUACAGUAAUGUAUGUGCUGAGAUGUCCUAAUAGACCGAGGACUU